AGGAUCAUUACAGUAUGAUUUAAGGGGGUUGGAUGCUGGCCCGCGAGGGCAUGUGCGCGCCUCUGUUUUUCUUACACACAACAACACCUGUGCACCUAUGGGGCAAGUGCCUCUCCGGGGGACUGCCUCUUUUUAUAAUCUCAGCCUGUUCGAACGCACGUUUAAUUGAGCUCUACGGAGUUGAUAAAUACAUACAACUUUCGACAACGGAUCUCUUGGCUUUUGCAUCGAUGAAGAACGCCGCGAAAGUGCGAAACGUAAUGUGAAUUGCAGAAUUCAGUGAAUCAUCGAAUCUUUGAACGCAUCUUGCGCCCCUUGGUUAAUCCGAGGAGCAUGCCUGUUUGAGUGUCGUGAAACCCCAUCGACCUUUGCUUUCUUUGUUGAAGGUGUUAGGGUUGGAUUUGGACGUCUGUGGCGGGUCCGUCCGCCGCUCGUCUUUAAAUGCAUUAGCUUGGCCCCCUCGAGUCGGUUCAACGACGGUGUGAUAAUAAACGUUUUUGUUGACUGUGGCGCCGUUUGGCCGGCUCRAGUUUGUUGGGUUGCUUUACAAGCCCC
This 555-nucleotide ribosomal RNA is filed under the name Ramaria sp. src827. Its description in RNAcentral is "eukaryotic LSU rRNA". The stretch from base 196 to 351 matches the Rfam family "5.8S ribosomal RNA". The record is from RNAcentral. Lineage: Eukaryota; Fungi; Basidiomycota; Agaricomycetes; Gomphales; Gomphaceae.